This 643-nucleotide unclassified non-coding RNA is filed under the name Malassezia sympodialis. RNAcentral's name for it is "sequence contains 18S rRNA gene, ITS1, 5.8S rRNA gene, ITS2, 28S rRNA gene". The stretch from base 206 to 359 matches the Rfam family "5.8S ribosomal RNA". The record is from RNAcentral. Lineage: Eukaryota; Fungi; Basidiomycota; Malasseziomycetes; Malasseziales; Malasseziaceae.
GUAACAAGGUUUCUGUAGGUGAACCUGCAGAAGGAUCAUUAGUGAAAGUUUCGGGCCUGCCAUACGGACGCAAACACGUCUCUGGCGCCCAUCACUAUAUCCAUACCAACCCCUGUGCACUGUGAUGACGAAUGUCAUCGAACAAAAAAAAACUCGUAUGGUUGAAUGUACGUGAAAUUGUAGGUAUAGCCUACGAACUAUACACAACUUUCGACAACGGAUCUCUUGGUUCUCCCAUCGAUGAAGAACGCAGCGAAACGCGAUAGGUAAUGUGAAUUGCAGAAUUCCGUGAAUCAUCGAAUCUUUGAACGCACCUUGCGCUCCAUGGUAUUCCGUGGAGCAUGCCUGUUUGAGUGCCGCGAAUUCUCCCUCCCCUUACGGUGGCCGAAAGGCCGAAGUAGGGCGGACGGGGUAGGAUGGGUGUUUGCUGCCUGGGGAUUGUACCAGGCUCGCCCGAAAUGCAUAAGCGCCAGGACCCUCGCUACCGCUCUCUAGGGAAGAGUGGCUAAGCGACCGCUGAGCAUGGCAUGAUACGUCAUUUGCUGUGUGUGGGCGGCCGGUUGGAGAGGUGUCUGCUUUACCAGCCCUAUUUUAAUUCUGGUCUCAAAUCAGGUAGGAUCACCCGCUGAACCUAAGCAUAUCA